Thalassophryne amazonica is the source of this 1572-nucleotide long non-coding RNA. RefSeq lists it as uncharacterized. The transcript has 2 exons. The record is from RefSeq and is a predicted model, not a curated record. Lineage: Eukaryota; Metazoa; Chordata; Actinopteri; Batrachoidiformes; Batrachoididae.
UAUAUUGUUCAGCUUUACAAAAACAUGACAAGUGUCACAAUAGAGAUGGCAAUUUUGUAACUUUGAGCCACUUUCUAAUGAUUUGAAUCUAUUUUUCUGCAACAUUUCAAAAUCUGCUGUCUUGUUAUUGCAACAUCUGGAGUCAGAAUUAUAUGCUAUUAUAAAUUAGUUGAAGUGAAAUUUGAGGGAUGUAUCCUAAGUUGUAAAUGCUAAGCCUUUGAAUGAGUUGGGAGCAAAUUGAUCUGAGGUGUUGAAAUUGCCAUCUCUGCUUUGGUAAUGUGAUUUGUUUUCAUUAAUUUAUUUUGGAUUGCAUUGAUACUCGUCAUUGUGUAUGUUUCUUUGUGUAACAGAGGGACAUGGACAAUGCCCAUGUGAUAGCUUUGCAUUACGGUGCAAUAAUGGUUCUAUGUUUAAAAAUAUUCCAAUGGUUAAGUAUCAAACUCAGACUUGGUAUUUUUGAGUUUAAAGGACCAUGUCAAUCAUUUUGGUGUGCAAUAAGCCUUGCGUUACUAAAUAUUCUGAGGCCCAAAACUAAGAAGAAAUGAAAGGUACACUUGCAUUCUUUUACUGUCCAUUGGUUUCAUUACAUUCUGAUAAAACUGAAAUCAGCGUGGUCAUAUUUAAGCAGUUAUUAGAGGUGUAUCCAACAUCGUAAACAAGCAUAACUGUACUGUGGAUAUUUUAGCUGUUGUUUCCACUGGAAAGUGCGAAAUGAUGAGCCAUAAUGAACUUCAAAGGUAUACAGUGUGUUAAAGUUUCAUCUUCCUAAUAUAGUAACAAUUCAGUUAAAUGUGAAACUUGUUAAACUUUUACAGCAGCACUACUGAGGCACUUCACAGCAUGGUGCGCCGCAUUAAACACUGCAGAUAAUUUCUCAAGUACAUAACACUACAAAAUGAAUAUUAAUUUACCCAUCAGAUGGAUUUUAGUUAUUUAGCUGGCAAGUGCUCUUAUGAUCGCAAACCAGUGACUUAUGACCUGCCAGUUUAUGACAGUUGUUUUAAGAUGGUAAGAGUGUUAUGAUGCUAUUGCACUGUUAUAGAAUGGCUAAAGUCACUGAGCAAAACGUGCACACAGUGGCUAAAUAAUGUUAAUGAACCAGCUUGGUCCAAUGGCUAAACACUAAACAAACCUCUAAAAUUGCUUGCUAUGACUUGGCUGUUGCACAUCCAUUCUAAAUAUGAGCAACUUGAUAAUUAAUGGCAUAUCAGAAUGAAAUGAAGAUAAUGGCGUCAAAGACAGUGUUUUAGCUUCUCCUUUUCAGUUCUGAGGUGAAGAAAAUGCUUCUGUUUACUUCUGUGAUACUUGCAUAUUUUGGCCACAACCAUUGAAAUGAGAAGUAUGGCUUUAUAAGAUUUCUGUUGGACGGCAAGUAAUGAAUAUUUUAUAAUUGAUAAAUCCAACUACAAUUUUGUUUCAGUUAAUCUAACAAUCAGUUGUUGAUUAGUCCACUGAUUAUUUUCUGAUUAGCCAGUUAUCCAUUUUGUCAGUUUACUCAUAACUAUAAAUUCUACCAGUAACUUGCAGUCUUGCAUUCAGAUAGUCUAUCAUAAAGUAUUUAUUUGGCAACUU